AAAAAUCCUUGUUUCCAUGAUUUUCUAGCUAAUAACUCCCUGACAUAGCUGCAGUGCUCAAUUCUGACUACCUGUUUCCAGCACUCAGCCUGUAGAUACAACUUUUCCUUGGUCUCAAAGCAUUCCAGUAAGGGAAGACUGUACCAAACCCUCAUUCCAAACACAGGCAAACUCAGCUGGUCGCUGAAGACAGGAUUUCUAAAUGAGCCUGAGAAUUACACAUGCAAAUCCCAUAGGCCUGGAAUUGGGAACAUCUGAGCAACAAAUUGUCCUUGCUAAAGAUGGUGCCGGAGCCAAAAAGCCUACAGAUUUCGGGCCUGCUGAGUAACGCUGCUGAGGAUCCCAACGGCAAGAGCUGAGCACCAGGAGAGGGGUGUGCGUGUCCAGCGUUUUGGUAAGAGCUGCUGUGCAUUGAGGGGGACGCAGAACUCCGGGU
Molecule: long non-coding RNA, 436 nt
Organism: Pezoporus flaviventris
Lineage: Eukaryota; Metazoa; Chordata; Aves; Psittaciformes; Psittacidae
Exons: 3
Source: RefSeq, a predicted model, not a curated record